RNAcentral lists this ribosomal RNA (497 nucleotides) under uncultured bacterium. Its description in RNAcentral is "partial 16S ribosomal RNA". It matches the Rfam family "Bacterial small subunit ribosomal RNA", at positions 28 to 507 of the family's 1533-position model. The record is from RNAcentral.
GAUGAACGCUGGCGGCGUGCCUAAUACAUGCAAGUCAAGCGAACGGACGAGAAGCUUGCUUCUCUGAUGUUAGCGGCGGACGGGUGAGUAACACGUGGAUAACCUACCUAUAAGACUGGGAUAACUUCGGGAAACCGGAGCUAAUACCGGAUAAUAUUUUGAACCGCAUGGUUCAAAAGUGAAAGACGGUCUUGCUGUCACUUAUAGAUGGAUCCGCGCUGCAUUAGCUAGUUGGUAAGGUAACGGCUUACCAAGGCAACGAUGCAUAGCCGACCUGAGAGGGUGAUCGGCCACACUGGAACUGAGACACAGUCCAGACUCCUACGGGAGGCAGCAGUAGGGAAUCUUCCGCAAUGGGCGAAAGCCUGACGGAGCAACGCCGCGUGAGUGAUGAAGGUCUUCGGAUCGUAAAACUCUGUUAUUAGGGAAGAACAUAUGUGUAAGUAACUGUGCACAUCUUGACGGUACCUAAUCAGAAAGCCACGGCUAACUACGUG